GGAGUUUGAUCUUGGCUCAGAUUGAACGCUGGCGGCAUGCCUUACACAUGCAAGUCGAACGGCAGCACGGGAGCUUGCUCCUGGUGGCGAGUGGCGAACGGGUGAGUAAUGCAUCGGAACGUAUCCUGGAGUGGGGGAUAACGUAGCGAAAGUUACGCUAAUACCGCAUAUUCUGUGAGCAGGAAAGCGGGGGACCUUCGGGCCUCGCGCUCUUGGAGCGGCCGAUGUCGGAUUAGCUAGUUGGUGAGGUAAAGGCUCACCAAGGCGACGAUCCGUAGCAGGUCUGAGAGGAUGAUCUGCCACACUGGAACUGAGACACGGUCCAGACUCCUACGGGAGGCAGCAGUGGGGAAUUUUGGACAAUGGGGGCAACCCUGAUCCAGCCAUGCCGCGUGAGUGAAGAAGGCCUCGG
This 412-nucleotide ribosomal RNA is filed under the name bacterium enrichment culture clone ALO1_GLFRUDD03HHKVI. RNAcentral describes it as "bacterial SSU rRNA". It matches the Rfam family "Bacterial small subunit ribosomal RNA", at positions 9 to 420 of the family's 1533-position model. The record is from RNAcentral.